AGAUUGAACGCUGGCGGCAUGCCUUACACAUGCAAGUCGAACGACAGCACGGGAGCAAUCCUGGUGGCGAGUGGCGAACGGGUGAGUAAUACAUCGGAACGUGCCCAAUCGUGGGGGAUAACGCAGCGAAGGCUGUGCUAAUACCGCAUAAGAUCUACGGAUGAAAGCAGGGGAUCGCAAGACCUUGCGCGAAUGGAGCGGCCGAUGGCAGAUUAGGUAGUUGGUGAGGUAAAGGCUCACCAAGCCUUCGAUCUGUAGCUGGUCUGAGAGGACGACCAGCCACACUGGGACUGAGACACGGCCCAGACUCCUACGGGAGGCAGCAGUGGGGAAUUUUGGACAAUGGGCGAAAGCCUGAUCCAGCCAUGCCGCGUGCAGGAUGAAGGCCUUCGGUUGUAAACUGCUUUGUACGGUAACGAAAAGUACUACUUUCUAAUAAAGAAGGAGUCAUAGACGGUAACGUAACGUAAAUAAGACACCGACUAACUACGUACG
This 495-nucleotide ribosomal RNA is filed under the name uncultured soil bacterium. RNAcentral's name for it is "bacterial SSU rRNA". It matches the Rfam family "Bacterial small subunit ribosomal RNA", at positions 26 to 509 of the family's 1533-position model. The record is from RNAcentral.